UGCACCCUCGCUUGGGUUGCUGUGGAAAGUGUUGGAGUUAUCAGUGCGACAUUAGGCAGAGAGGGAGGGGUGCCUAGGCUAUUCAAAAGUCGUGACGCUCUCAUGUAUUUUUAGUUUUUGAAGUAACUUCGUCGAGCAGUGAACGCAACCACUCAGCUGUGCGAAACAAGUGGAGUAGACCGCUGUACUGUGGUUGUUCUUUUUCAAAAGGGAGAUAUUCGUGAUAAAGCGCCUAGGUUUGGGCACGAGUUCGUGUUGCUGCCAAGAUUUAGAUUCGGUCCAGUCAAUAUCUAUAUCUAGAUCUAGAUCUAGAGUCUUCAUAUAUUUGGGUUGAGUAACAAAGUCGAGAGUACAAGUACAGGAUUUUUACUUUUGUAACAGUGACAUAGUUGCAACUGACAUGGCAGUUUUUGUGUCGACGCUGCUGUUCGUAUUGUGUUUGUCAAGCUUAUGUGUCGGAGCCGGAGGUGAAGAUGUCGAUAAGGAUGGACAGAUCAACCGAAAUGAGAUGGGGAUGGCCGUUCUUUAUGACAUGGUUCAUGUGUUCCUCGGAGAUGUCUUACAGAAGGAGAAAAUAA
Molecule: long non-coding RNA, 578 nt
Organism: Aplysia californica (California sea hare)
Lineage: Eukaryota; Metazoa; Mollusca; Gastropoda; Aplysiida; Aplysiidae
Exons: 2
Source: RefSeq, a predicted model, not a curated record